UUAAAGUCUCGGAUCGGGAGGAGUAGGUAGUAUGGUCUUUUAGAGAGAGGAGCACCUAGGCUGAAAGUGCUCUAAAGAGCUGCUACUGAAUGUCGCCCGGGAGAUAGUAAUCUGAACUUGUAGUAAGAUUACUCGGUUUAAGCCGUUAUUUUAUUAAGUGUUCCAUGUAGUUAGCAUGGGAAAUUAAGGUGGUACCGCGGAAUUAGCCCUUCCGUCCUUUUA
RNAcentral lists this non-coding RNA (222 nucleotides) under Natranaerobius trueperi. Its description in RNAcentral is "T-box sequence". It matches the Rfam family "T-box leader". From Rfam's summary of the family: Uncharged tRNA acts as the effector for transcription antitermination of genes in the T-box leader family. T-boxes are found upstream of many aminoacyl-tRNA synthetase genes and some amino acid biosynthetic genes usually in Gram-positive bacteria. Lineage: Bacteria; Bacillati; Bacillota; Clostridia; Natranaerobiales; Natranaerobiaceae. The record is from RNAcentral.